GACGAACGCUGGCGGCGUGCUUAACACAUGCAAGUCGGACGGAAAGGCCCUGCUUUUGUGGGGUGCUCGAGUGGCGAACGGGUGAGUAACACGUGAGUAACCUGCCCUUGACUUUGGGAUAACUUCAGGAAACUGGGGCUAAUACCGGAUAGGAGCUCCUGCUGCAUGGUGGGGGUUGGAAAGUUUCGGCGGUUGGGGAUGGACUCGCGGCUUAUCAGCUUGUUGGUGGGGUAGUGGCUUACCAAGGCUUUGAUGGGUAGCCGGCCUGAGAGGGUGACCGGCCACAUUGGGACUGAGAUACGGCCCAGACUCCUACGGGAGGCAGCAGUGGGGAAUAUUGCACAAUGGGCGGAAGCCUGAUGCAGCAACGCCGCGUGCGGGAUGACGGCCUUCGGGUUGUAAACCGCUUUCGCCUGUGACGAAGCGUGAGUGACGGUAAUGGGUAAAGAAGCACCGGCUAACUACGUG
This 468-nucleotide ribosomal RNA is filed under the name uncultured bacterium. RNAcentral's name for it is "partial 16S ribosomal RNA". It matches the Rfam family "Bacterial small subunit ribosomal RNA", at positions 28 to 507 of the family's 1533-position model. The record is from RNAcentral.